UACAGAGGUCCCAAGCGUUGUUCGGAUUCACUGGGCGUAAAGGGUGCGUAGGUGGUUGGGUAAGUUUGAUGUGAAAUCUCCGGGCUUAACCCGGAAACUGCAUUGAAUACUAUCUGGCUAGAGGGUUGGAGGGGGGACUGGAAUACUUGGUGUAGCGGUGAAAUGCGUAGAUAUCACGUGGAACACCAGUGGCGAAGGCGAGUCCCUGGACAACUCCUGACGCUGAGGCACGAAAGCGAGGGGAGCAAACAGG
RNAcentral lists this ribosomal RNA (253 nucleotides) under uncultured bacterium. RNAcentral's name for it is "partial 16S ribosomal RNA". It matches the Rfam family "Bacterial small subunit ribosomal RNA", at positions 524 to 776 of the family's 1533-position model. The record is from RNAcentral.